RNAcentral lists this long non-coding RNA (2105 nucleotides) under Eucalyptus grandis. RNAcentral describes it as "long non-coding RNA (EGRA_LNC004752)". Lineage: Eukaryota; Viridiplantae; Streptophyta; Magnoliopsida; Myrtales; Myrtaceae. The record is from RNAcentral.
UGAGAUUCUCCAAGUCUUUCAGUGUCUUCAUUUAUUAGCAGGUAACCGUUCAGAUCGGAUCUCCCCAAGGUAAGAUGCGGUCGAUUCAUGGAGACUCGAUCAUACGAUUCUUUUGAGUUUGCCUUUUGCCGAGAGCUUCAAAUUGUUGUCUCAAAUUGCUCGUGUUAUAUUGCUCGCCGAUUUAUAGGAAUUCCUAUUUGUAGAACACCUCACCCUUCAUGAUCACCACCCGUUCGAUGUUUUGCCUCAGAGAUGCUAAUGACGAAUUUGUCUUCAUCAUCGAUCAAUCUGAGAUUGCAUAGCGUGAUCUGGAUGUUCUUGUUCGACAUGCUGAUCAUAUAUUGUGAAUUUUCAUGCUUCAUCCUUUGAUGGCACAGAGUUCUCUUUCCCUUGGUGCUUCAGUUUACUUUGUCUCCUUCGGUUGUGUGACUGAAUUGUUGUCUGGUAUAACAGUAAGUCACUAUACAUUGGUGGUUAAUAAAUCACAGCAAAGCUAUAUCAAGUUCAAUGUCGUUUUGAUGCUCAUAAAAGACCAUUCCACCAAAGCUCGAGAAAGAGAGUCCUCAACCUAAUUUAAAUUCCAAUUCAAAAUCUAUAGUUUCUACUUUCCCUUUUGAUAUUAAGAAGAGCAGUGCACUAGACCAAAAUUUGGUGAUAGCAACUUGGAAUUUUCUUUGCGGGAUUUCGGUGCAUAGACUUAAUUCUUACUGGCUCGUAAAUCCGAAAAUUCUCAAUAUGAAUAUUAGUAUCUUUUGGCUUGAUCAACACGAAAAUAUGAGAGAGCAAGCUUGCUUCAUGUCAUGGGGUGUGUUUGAUUGAUACCUUCCAUGACUAUGAUAAUGACGUAUUCUUGGAAAGUCAAUUCAAUAGUUAUUUUAUGAGUGGAGUGAAUAGAUGAUAUAUAAGGAUUAUCCAUCUGUUAGUUUUACAAAUGAGACGGUAUAUUAUGUUUUCUCAAUUUAAACAGGAGAAGUUAGAUAAAAAGGUAUUUUGGUUUUAUAAUGUACCAUUAGUUCUUGAAUUUUUUUAUAGCCGAUUGAGAUCUUAAAACAACCUAAUUUUAUUUUAACUCCUAUACAACUGUGGUAUUCUAUCCUCUCAUCUUCUUCAAAGAGUUUAUUUUCAUGUUGUGAUUUUUGUUUCACGCUCAAUCAAAGGCUAGGGCACAAUUACAAGGAGAUAAAGGAGUGCCACGAAGGAAAUGAUGAUCAAUGAGGCAGAAAGCGAGGGUGAUAGUCUCUUUGGACUGCUCUGUUUUGUCCAAAAUUCCACGAGGUAAGAAUGGAACAAGAUCAUCCAUGAAUUUCGAAUAAUGGCUUGGGUGUAGAGCGAGAGUAUAGAGCUUCCAUAGCCAUUGACAGCUGCGAGAACGAGAUUAUCUCCCACUGCCAGUGCUUGUCCCUUCUCUAUUUCGUCUGAAGAAACCCCACUGCUUGAUGUCCACCAGGUUUUUGUGAUUUUGCCUAACUGAAUCCAGCUUUAAGCGCCCUCUACUCCCAAAAAAAAAAAGAAAAACCAAACCUGUUGUUUAAUUUACCGUUUUAAAUGUUUUGACUACUAGUUUUUUGAAGUUUGUUCUAUUUGUUUUGUUUAGUAUUUUUAUGUAGCAGCUUGUUUCAAAGCAAAGUGACAUUCAAUCUACUAUAUCGAUGCUCAGGUCAAUUUAGAUGGAUCAGGAUAUUCUAUAUACACAAAAUUUCGUGUAAAGAUUUUCUGGAGGAUUGCUGCUAUCCCUCGGUGUAAUGCCAGAAUAAAACCGGCGUAAUGUGAUCAUGUCUUGUAGACUUCUUGUCCUGGAUGAGAAUUUUUCUUAUUGUGCUUGGGAGGCAGAGUCUAUUUUCAUCUCAUGCCGUUGGUACAUAUCCACUAGCAUCUAUUUCUUUUUCUUCCCAAACCUUGUUCGCUUUAUAAUUGAUAUAGGAAGGACUUAUGUUAUCACAGAUUUAAAAGUACCAACUAUGAAAGUUGAAGUUAACUCUUGAAAAUACUGCUUAGUGGAGGACUCUAACUGAGCCUAACAAAUAGCAAGAGAGACAACAGAGCAUGGGGGCAAGUUUCUGUUUGAAUUUGGAAAGUGAAGUUCUUGUUAUAUACUAUUUGAGAAG